CCCUCGGGGCCCAACCUCCCACCCGUGUUGCCCGAACCUAUGUUGCCUCGGCGGGCCCCGCGCCCGCCGACGGCCCCCCUGAACGCUGUCUGAAGUUGCAGUCUGAGACCUAUAACGAAAUUAGUUAAAACUUUCAACAACGGAUCUCUUGGUUCCGGCAUCGAUGAAGAACGCAGCGAAAUGCGAUAACUAAUGUGAAUUGCAGAAUUCAGUGAAUCAUCGAGUCUUUGAACGCACAUUGCGCCCUCUGGUAUUCCGGAGGGCAUGCCUGUCCGAGCGUCAUUGCUGCCCUCAAGCCCGGCUUGUGUGUUGGGCCCCGUCCCCCCCGCCGGGGGGACGGGCCCGAAAGGCAGCGGCGGCACCGCGUCCGGUCCUCGAGCGUAUGGGGCUUCGUCACCCGCUCUAGUAGGCCCGGCCGGCGCCAGCCGACCCCCAACCUUUAAUUAUCUCAGGUUGACCUCGGAUCAGGUAGGGAUACCCGC
Molecule: ribosomal RNA, 482 nt
Filed under: Penicillium sp. MS310
Lineage: Eukaryota; Fungi; Ascomycota; Eurotiomycetes; Eurotiales; Aspergillaceae
Also listed under: 1 other name
Description: eukaryotic LSU rRNA
Rfam family: 5.8S ribosomal RNA (bases 129-282)
Source: RNAcentral